CGUGCAAGACCGCUGCGUCCCCCAACGAAGCUUCUGUCAACCUUGAUAGUAGGAACCUGGCCAAAUGCGCCUGAGUGGGAAGCAACGGCCAUCCAAAAUAUAUGUAGACACAAUUAACCUCGAAAUGAAAACCAAUAACAAAGUGAUAAGUUGUAAAACCAACGUAGUAAUUGAUAGAAAGGAUAGAAUUAAGGACGUCGUUCCCGAAAUGACAAACAUGAAAAGCAACUUACAGUACCAGCUUGACGAGGUCACAUGCAGUCAGAUAUCCCCCUUUGUUUCUAUGUUUUUGACAUCACAUUUGUAUCCAUCAUCUAUUGUACAUGUCAUUGAUUCUUGACCUGCAAUCUGAAGUUAUCAGAAUGUUGCUGGGUGACAUAAAAUCCAUGUUGCCGAAGGACUGGUGUGCUAUGAACCUGUCGCAGGAAAAAUACAAACUAGUGGAAGUGCCUCCUCAAAGUUCCGAAUAUCUUCACAUCCGACAGCAAAUAUUUAGCAGUGAUAAUUCUUGUAAAUCAUCAAUCUUCAAGUUGCAGAACCCACUUUUAUAUAUGAAGUUUCGUUUGAAAGCCCAUGAAUUUGCACAAAGAGGCUUCUUUGAAAUAAAAACAUUAUUUCACGAUACCUCUAGGCACAAUGAGAAAUGUAUUGUAAACUUCAACUUUGAUUGGAAAUAUGGUGAAAGAUUCAUGUAUGGACCUGGCGUUCCUUUUUAUCUAACUCCAUAUGAUGCUCGUAAAUAUUCUCCAAAAAAUAAUGGACAACCAAGAACAAUGUUUCUAGCACAUGUUCUGGUUCAGAAGGUCCAAGUUGCAGGUGGGAGAAUUUUUCUUCCUGAUUUUGGUUAUGAUACAGUUUUGUGUGACGGAGGUGUUACAUACGUAAAAUAUCUUGACUGCGAAUACUAUCCUCAAUAUUUGAUUCGUUAUGAGACUUGAGAAGUUUUCUGUUACCACAAUUCAAGUAUCCGUUGAACAAUGUAUACUUACAUAUUAUUUCAUUUACUUAUGUACCAUACACAAAAUAUGGUUCAAGUGAGAUCAAAUUAACUUGAAAUACUUAGAACUCUCGUUAAUAUAAUCCAUUUCAUAUGUUUCACAUCAUUUGUUUGUCAUAAACGAACACAAAUUUCAAAGUAAUAUAUAAAAAUAUUUCGACAUUUAGAUACAUGGUAAAAACAUUCAACUUUGGAUAACAAUUAAAACCACUGAAUAUUAAACAUAUACAAUGCUCAUAUAAAAACAAAUAUUAUUCAAAAUAAUCCAUUUCAAAUAUUUCACAUCAUUUGUUUGUCAUAAACUAACAUAAAAUUUUCAUAUGCUUUCAUCACUCAGCGGAGUGAUGACAUGGGUUGAGGGGAGUUUGUAAUAAACCUAACAUCUUUCAACAAACUACAACUAAUAUACUUCAGUGCAUCUCUUAUAUCCACUUGUUUGUCAAUGACUUUCUUCUAUCUUGAAAUUUUUGGCUGAGCCAAUCAAAACUGAUUUAUUUUUAGAUUUUCAGGCAAUCGAAGAAACCUGACUUUUAUUAACAAUAUGUACUCUCAUGUUAUUCAUUAAAAUGAUUGCAUUGUUAUGGCCUUGCAUUAUUUUUAGUUUUGUUUUAAAAUCAUCAUUGGAGAAACACUUCAGUAAUGAUUCCUGAAAAAUAUAUUGGAUUGCAUAUUGAAGUAUAUCCCAAACAUUUUUUUUAACUGCAGUUCUUGAUAUUUUCUAGUAUACAUAUUUUGCAAUAUGAUGACACUACUUUUAUUCACCAAAAACUGCAACAAUCUUCUUAACGAACGUUUUGCCAACUGAAUUGGCAUCAUCAGAGUAUAAAACUUAUACUCAACUCAUUUAUACAACUAUUAAUGCGAGACCAAUAAUAGUCUUGUAUUCUUUCAAUGCCAGAGAUUCCAGUUCGUCUUUCAAAUAUUUUGGUUUUGAGUCUCUACAUAGUCUUUGAAAUAUUAUCAACAACAUCAAUAUGAAUUAAAUUACUUCACUGUGCGUUGUGGUGGAAGUUUUGAUAUGUACAUAUGUAUAUACCUAGUUUAAUGCACAUGUAAUUUUAGGAGGUUCUGUUCCAGAAAUAAAUGUGAUAUAAGUACAGAUGGCGCAAAAAAUGGUAUUAUAUGAUAGCGAUAAU
RNAcentral lists this long non-coding RNA (2133 nucleotides) under Leptinotarsa decemlineata (Colorado potato beetle). RNAcentral's name for it is "uncharacterized LOC111511587". Lineage: Eukaryota; Metazoa; Arthropoda; Insecta; Coleoptera; Chrysomelidae. The record is from RNAcentral.